RNAcentral lists this ribosomal RNA (254 nucleotides) under uncultured bacterium. RNAcentral's name for it is "partial 16S ribosomal RNA". It matches the Rfam family "Bacterial small subunit ribosomal RNA", at positions 524 to 776 of the family's 1533-position model. The record is from RNAcentral.
UACGUAGGGGGCAAGCGUUGUCCGGAAUCAUUGGGCGUAAAGAGCGUGUAGGCGGCUUGGUAAGUCCGCUGUGAAAGUCCAGGGCUCAACCCUGGAAUGCCGGGUGGAAACUGUCAAGCUUGAGUCCGGAAGAGGCGAGUGGAAUCCUGGUGUAGCGGUGAAAUGCGCAGAUAUCAGGAGGAACACCAAUGGCGAAGGCAGCUCGCUGGGACGGUACCUGACGCUGAGACGCGAAAGCGUGGGGAGCAAACAGG